GACGUAGGAUGCAAGCGUUGUCCGGAUUUAUUGGGCGUAAAGAGUUCGUAGGCUGUUUGUUAAGUCUGAUGUUAAAGACUGGGGCUCAACCUCGGAAAUGCAUUGGAUACUGGCAGACUGGAGUGCAGUAGAGGCUAGUGGAAUUCCCAGUGCAGCGGUGAAAUGCGUAGAUAUUGGGAAGAACACCGGUGGCGUAGGCGACUAGCUGGGCUGUAACUGACGCUGAGGAACGAAAGCCAGGGGAGCGAAUGGG
This 253-nucleotide ribosomal RNA is filed under the name uncultured bacterium. RNAcentral describes it as "partial 16S ribosomal RNA". It matches the Rfam family "Bacterial small subunit ribosomal RNA", at positions 524 to 776 of the family's 1533-position model. The record is from RNAcentral.